This 582-nucleotide ribosomal RNA is filed under the name Streptococcus infantarius. RNAcentral describes it as "bacterial SSU rRNA". It matches the Rfam family "Bacterial small subunit ribosomal RNA", at positions 44 to 607 of the family's 1533-position model. Lineage: Bacteria; Bacillati; Bacillota; Bacilli; Lactobacillales; Streptococcaceae. The record is from RNAcentral.
GUGCCUAAUACAUGCAAGUAGAACGCUGAAGACUUUAGCUUGCUAAAGUUGGAAGAGUUGCGAACGGGUGAGUAACGCGUAGGUAACCUGCCUACUAGCGGGGGAUAACUAUUGGAAACGAUAGCUAAUACCGCAUAACAGCAUUUAACACAUGUUAGAUGCUUGAAAGGAGCAAUUGCUUCACUAGUAGAUGGACCUGCGUUGUAUUAGCUAGUUGGUGAGGUAACGGCUCACCAAGGCGACGAUACAUAGCCGACCUGAGAGGGUGAUCGGCCACACUGGGACUGAGACACGGCCCAGACUCCUACGGGAGGCAGCAGUAGGGAAUCUUCGGCAAUGGGGGCAACCCUGACCGAGCAACGCCGCGUGAGUGAAGAAGGUUUUCGGAUCGUAAAGCUCUGUUGUAAGAGAAGAACGUGUGUGAGAGUGGAAAGUUCACACAGUGACGGUAACUUACCAGAAAGGGACGGCUAACUACGUGCCAGCAGCCGCGGUAAUACGUANGUCCCCGAGCGUUGUCCGGAUUUAUUGGGCGUAAAGCGAGCGCAGGCGGUUUAAUAAGUNUGAAGUAAAAGGCAGUGG